UAGAGUUUGAUCAUGGCUCAGCCUUUGACUUAAAAAAAUGGAGAAGUCGUAACAAGGUAACCGUACGUCGUAACAAGGUAACCGUAGAGUUUGAUCAUGGCUCAGGAAAGUCGUAACAAGGUAGCCGUAGAGUUUGAUCCUGGCUCAGGUGAAGUCGUAACAAGGUAGCCGUAGAGUUGGAUCAUGGCUCAGCCUUUGACUUAAAAAAAUGGAGAAGUCGUAACAAGGUAGCCGUAAGUCGUAACAAGGUAGCCGUAAGUCGUAACAAGGUAACCGUAGAGUUUGAUCCUGGCUCAGCCUUUGACUUAAAAAAAUGGAGAAGUCGUAACAAGGUAACCGUACGUCGUAACAAGGUAACCGUAGAGUUUGAUCAUGGCUCAGGAUAAGUCGUAACAAGGUAGCCGUAAGUCGUAACAAGGUACCGUAGAGUUUGAUCCUGGCUCAGGAUUAACGCUGGCGGCGUGCCUAACACAUGCAAGUCGUAACAAGGUAACCGUAAGUCGUAAAAAGGUAACCA
Molecule: ribosomal RNA, 517 nt
Filed under: uncultured bacterium
Lineage: Bacteria
Description: partial 16S ribosomal RNA
Source: RNAcentral